AGCAGCCGCGGUAAUUCCAGCUCCAAUAGCGUAUAUUAAAGUUGUUGCAGUUAAAAGCUCGUAGUUGAAUUUCGGGGUUAGUAGGUUGGUCAUGCCUCUGGUAUGUACUGGUCUCACUGAUUCCUCCUUCCUGAUGAACCUUAAUGCCAUUAAUUUGGUGUUUUGGGGAAUUUGGACUAUUACUUUGAAAAAUUAGAGUGUUUAAAGCAAGCUAACGCUUGAAUACAUUAGCAUGGAAUAAUGAAAUAGGACGUUCGAUCCUAUUUUGUUGGUUUCUAGGAUUGACGUAAUGAUUAAUAGGGAUAGUUGGGGGCAUUAGUAUUCAAUUGUCAGAGGUGAAAUUCUUGGAUUUAUUGAAGACUAACUACUGCGAAAGCAUUUGCCAAGGAUGUUUUCAUUAAUCAAGAACGAAAGUUAGGGAUCGAAGACGAUCAGAUACCGUCGUAGUCUUAACCAUAAACUAUGCCGACUAGGGAUCGGAUGAUGUUAAUUUUUUAAUGACUCAUUCGGCGCCUUACGG
This 520-nucleotide unclassified non-coding RNA is filed under the name uncultured Glomus. RNAcentral describes it as "SSU rRNA". It matches the Rfam family "Eukaryotic small subunit ribosomal RNA", at positions 569 to 1093 of the family's 1831-position model. The record is from RNAcentral. Lineage: Eukaryota; Fungi; Glomeromycota; Glomeromycetes; Glomerales; Glomeraceae.